AGAGUUUGAUCCUGGCUCAGAGCGAACGCUGGCGGCGUGCUUAACACAUGCAAGUCGAGUGCGCAGUCCCCGCAAGGGGACCGGCGCACGGCGCACGGGUGCGUAACACGUGGGCAACCUGCCCUUGGAUGGGGAAUAACUCGCCGAAAGGCGAGCUAAUACCGCAUAACACUCCGGGAACCGUGGUUACCGGAUUCAAAGCCGUAAGGCGUCCGAGGAGGGGCCCGCGCCCGAUUAGGUAGUUGGCGAGGUAACGGCUCACCAAGCCUUUGAUCGGUAGCCGGUCUGAGAGGAUGGCCGGCCACACUGGAACUGAGACACGGUCCAGACUCCUACGGGAGGCAGCAGUGGGGAAUCUUGCGCAAUGGGCGAAAGCCUGACGCAGCGACGCCGCGUGGGGGAUGAAGCUUCUCGGAGUGUAAACCCCUUUCGACCGGGACGAAACGCCCGCAAGGGAAUUGACGGUACCGGUAGAAGAAGCCCCGGCUAACUACGUGCCAGCAGCCGCGGUAAGACGUAGGGGGCCAGCGUUGCUCGGAAUAACUGGGCGUAAAGGGUCUGUAGGCGGUGCGGCAAGUCGGGAGUGAAAUCCCUGGGCUCAACUCAGGGGCUGCUUCCGAAACUGCCGUGCUGGAGUGCGGGAGAGGCGAGUGGAAUUGCAGGUGUAGCGGUGAAAUGCGUAGAUAUCUGCAGGAACACCCGUGGCGAAGGCGGCUCGCUGGACCGCAACUGACGCUGAAAGACGAAAGCUAGGGGAGCAAACAGGAUUAGAUACCCCAGUAGUCC
Molecule: ribosomal RNA, 786 nt
Filed under: uncultured bacterium
Lineage: Bacteria
Description: bacterial SSU rRNA
Rfam family: Bacterial small subunit ribosomal RNA
Source: RNAcentral